GGGCUACUCUCUAUUGGCAUA
Molecule: microRNA, 21 nt
Filed under: Solanum tuberosum (potato)
Lineage: Eukaryota; Viridiplantae; Streptophyta; Magnoliopsida; Solanales; Solanaceae
Description: stu-miR399j-5p
Gene: stu-miR399j-5p
Source: miRBase by way of RNAcentral